Molecule: ribosomal RNA, 254 nt
Filed under: uncultured bacterium
Lineage: Bacteria
Description: partial 16S ribosomal RNA
Rfam family: Bacterial small subunit ribosomal RNA
Source: RNAcentral
UACGGGGGGAGCAAGCGUUGUUCGGAUUUACUGGGCGUAAAGGGCGCGUAGGCGGCCUGUGCAAGUCAGUUGUGAAAUCUCCGAGCUUAACUCGGAAAGGUCAACUGAUACUGCUCGGCUAGAGUGCGGAAGGGGCAACUGGAAUUCUUGGUGUAGCGGUGAAAUGCGUAGAUAUCAAGAGGAACACCUGCGGCGAAGGCGGGUUGCUGGGCCGACACUGACGCUGAUGCGCGAAAGCGUGGGGAGCGAACGGG